UCUGAUCCUUCAUCUGGGCACUCCAUAGGCCAUGGGGCAGCUAAAAAAGAAAAGGGGGGGGAAGCUUGGAAAAAUGUGUAGACUUUGUUGAUUUGAAGGUCAGUAGGAACAAAGAGAUAGUGAAGGGAAAAUUGGGAACUUUAAGCCCUACCAGUUCUUUGGUGUUAAUAUACAGCUUUGCACACAAUGGGUAUUGUGGCCAAAACAUAACUUGGGAUAGGAGUUUUCAGAUCCUCGUGAUUCUUCUUCUGCGUACCUGCCCACUUUGAAAGUUAGGCUUGACCAUGUGACUUACUUUGUCUCUGAAGCAUCAGUGGAAGUGACAGGACAUAUAUCCAUUCUAGAUGGGAGCUUUAACAGCCAGUGCGCAGGGAGUUCCUACCAUGGCUCAGUGGAAACGAAUCUGACUAGUAUCCAUGAGGAUGCAGGUUCAAUCCCUGGCCUUGCUCAGUGGGUCAGGGAUCCAGCAUUGCCGUGAGCUGUGGUGUAGGUCACAGAAGCAGCUCAGAUCCCGAGUGGCUAUGGCUGUGGUGUAGCCCAGCAGCUGCAGCUCAAUUCCACCCCUAGCCUGGGAACUUACAUAUGCCACACCUGUGGCCCUGGAAAGCAAAAAAUAAACAGUGUGCAAUGCACCAUGUCCCCCACCCACCCCUAGUCCAUGCUGAUCGUGGAAUCAAAUGCUGAAAUGGAAGUCGGCCUGGGUCCCCAAGGGACUGUGGGGUAGAUUCUGUUGUCCACCUGUGUUACAGGUGUAUUAUGAGCAAGAAAUAAACCUUUAUUACACUAAGAUAGGGAAGUUUGAUUGUGAUUUGUUACCACAGCAUGACUUAGGUUUUCUUUAUUGAUAAAUUGGUUCCAGGAAGUGGGAGCUGCUCUAGCCCAGUGGCUUAGUAGCUGAUGUAUGGACAGCCAGGACACUGUCAUUGGAGAUCAGCCGCAGAACACAGAAAAUUAUUUGAGUGAUUCUUAGUUUCCUCAAGGAUGGUAAGUACCAACCAAUACCACCCUAGAUGCAUGGGAGAGAAGGUAAUCCACUGCUUAGUACCUUCAGGUGUUAAGGGCUCAACCUCUUUGGGCAGGAAAGCCCUUUCUUAUGUAUCUUGUGAGACAGAUUGUAUUUUAUAAACUUGUUCUUAAACUUGAGCACACAUCAGAAUCCCCAGGCGGGAUUGUGACCACACGGAUUGCUGGGCCUCACCCAGAGUUUCUGAUACAGUUGUCUUAUAGUGGCCCCCAAAUUGGCAUUUCCAGGUUCCUGAGUGGUGCUGAUGCUGCUGGUCUGGAGACCACACUUUGAAAACACUGCUCAGGGAAGGAGUAUUAUGAGUGUACUUUGCCUUGUCUCAGCCACAAUACCUCCUGGAUGAGAAUUCUAAGUGUCUGUGCUCUUUAAUCUUUGUGGGUUUUUCUUUGUUUGCCAUUUCCAGUGACUAAGCCUUACAAGUUAGCCUGUUCCCUGUGGAACCUUUGCUCCCCAAUUUAAAAACUGAAUUCUAUAAACCUGUGAUGGUCUAAUGGCAACUUUUUGUUUCUUCAGCUUGUGUCAUAAUAUCAAGUGUUUACAAACCCUGUAUUCAUCCAGAAUUGGGUUUUAGAAUUUAGUCAGAGGACUUGACUUGAAUCCCAGCAGUCUUGUAAGAAAAAUGACCCACACAUUAUGCUUAGAAAGAAAUCUUUAUUUAUGCUAAUGCCACUGAGUGUCUCUCUGUGUUGGCUCACUCCCUCAUGAAUGCUCAUUGAAAAACCGUCGUCUCCUCCCAAAACCUCAGCCAGGCAUGGAGGAGCUAGUGUGCUGCGUUGCCCUCUGUCAGCUGCUGCCUCUGAAUUCCAUCUCUGUUCUGAUUAUGCCACUGGGCAGAGACAUACAACGGAUUCCCUUUACAGAGCCCGGACAGUGGCCUAGACAUUCACACCAAGGUCCGAGAGACAGAGGCAUCUGUGAGGGACGACCACAAGGGCCCAUGGUACCAGGAACCUACUUGAGGGAUCUCCCUGCCUAAACGCACACAGUGCCUGUUCAUAGCUCUGGGGUCAUAGACUGAGGAUGAGUAAGAAGAGGGAGGAGAAAUCAGUGUUUCAUUGAGAAACUGGGGGCAACUUGUUUAUAUCCUCCCCAUCUAUAAAUUAAUCUCUGAGAGACAAGACUCACUCUCAGAAAGUACACUUGGUGACAAUGACUGAUGGCAGGCCUUGAAUGACCAAAGAAUAUUAAUGAAGUUCCUCCAUAUGCCUCACUCCAUCAUUGUCAGAAUAUAUGACCAAAAGUAUGAUCAAAUAGCCAGAAGCUUGGUGUCUAUCUUAAAAACCCUGCUAUAUGUUCUGGUCUGUGUGAUAUUUAGAAAGGUUGGACAGAGUACUUCUAUUUAUCUUCAUGUGCCAGAGUGUUGGGACCCCAGCUCAGGAGGCCAGUAAGCCUACAAUUUGCUAGAGCACAGCAGACUUGGAUUCAUGAAUGUUUGGUCAGAUUCUUAUACGUGCUUCUAAUCCACCCUGAAAUUAGAAGCUAAGCACAGUCACUACCCACCAAUGGCUUACAAAGAUUACUUUUCAGUGAUCUGUACAUACGCUGACCUUAGCAUGUAGAUGUCAACAUGAGAAUUACUAACUGCUAUAAACAUUCCACCCCAUUUGGGUAAGGAGAUCCCAUGUUGUCUGAAGUCUAAGGAAAUAUAGAAAGGUGUCACUCUUUGCUUCUCCACCUCUGCUUAUUUGAUGCCUAAUAAAGGAUGACUUUUUUACUGCUUGUGUUCAUUCUCUGGCUUCCACCAAUAUAGUAAAUUCAUCUAAAGUUGACAACCAAUAAAAGAUAUUCACCUCUGGGCAAUCAGUGCAAAUAAAGAAGCGAUCUACAGGAAUCCAUUUUAUUUGGAGGUGAAAGUUGCUUCUACUAAUUCUUCAAGGAAUCCAUCAUUGUAAUUUCUAAGUGGAUGAAUUAGUUAUCUAUGGCUGUGAAAAUGCUUUGUAACACACAGCCCUUAGAGCAUCAGUGGCCUAAACGAUAAUCAGUUAGUUCCUGCUCACAUGUCCAAGCAGUCACUGAGGUGGUUCUGCCGACCUUGACCCCCUGCUGUCAGAUGAUCAAGGCUGGCUUUGGCAGGACAACUGAAACAAUUAAGGUCUGUUCUACAUGCCUCUGAACUUCCAGGUGGAUUGCCCAAGCAUGGUCUAAAGGCUGCAACAAAGAUUCAAGAAUAAGUAGACCAGCCUUCUUGAAGCUUGAAGCUUAGGGUCAGAAUUGACAUGUCAUCAUUUCCAUGGCAUUCUUUCAGCCCAAGAAAGUCACAACACCAGCCCAGAUUCAAGGAGAUUGAAAAACAAUUCCUGCCUCUUUUGUGAGAAGAAGCAAAAAGCCACGCGUGUUUGGCUUUGGAGCCAUAAAAUGCAAUAAAUCUUUCAAGGCGAGAUCCUCCCCCGGUAAUAUUUGUGGACAGGAUUUGGGGGUUGCCUAAGAGACAUACUUCUGUUACCCUCCUUAAAUACCUGAGGUAAAGGGGUGAGAUAGUAAAUCAGGUCUUUUUUUGUGGCUGAUAUUUGCAGAAACUUUUCAUGGUGGAGGCCGUAUGUCAGUGUUCAGCAUAUCAUCAUCACUACCCAGAUUGUUGCCACAGGGGAGCAGUAACUAGAGUUAUCUGCCACUUAGCAUCCAGCGACUGUGAACUUCAGCAGGGGACAGAUAAUUGUAGCAUGUUGGUGUGGGAGGGGCAGCCCAAAAGCAGCUGGAAGGAAAGAGUGUUGUCAGAAAAGAGUCUUAGGAGCUAGGGGUAAAUAUUUUUGAAAAGAAUCAGGGUGAAACAAUUAAGGGAGCAACUAGAUUGUUCUUACUGAGGAGCGAGCAUCAGAAAGCAGGAGAGGAUUUGAUCUCCACAGCCUUUGAUUUCCUCCUGGCAGAAUCUGAGAGGGGAUUGGCACCGGUCACAUUGGAGUUCCCUUCAGCGCUUGGCUGGCAAGCGUUGUUCUCACCCCAGGCCACGACUUCUUCCUAUGGCUAAUGGGGAAAGGCGCCAUAAUCAUUUCUGAAUUCUUGUCCAUGAAAUUGCUCUGAAGCAGCCUUACCAAGUAAAUCUGGCCCAGUCUCUGAGCACUCACAGGCAUCCCCCAUACUCUUUGAUAGCUGACCAUAGCCUGACAUGUCACAUGGAGCAUGGACACGGGUUGUGCCACCCAGGGGGUGAAUAGUGAGGUUGGGGAUGAGCCAGUUGGCAGAGCAGAGCUUUACCAGUUGCUAAUGAAGUGAAAGGAAUUCCUUAUUGCUUAACUGGAUUUUAACCCUUCUGGCUUGCUCUGGAUAUAAGCGGUCUUCUGAGUCUUCUCAAAAUACUGAGGCAUUCAUUCCUGGUGCCACUGAGAAGGUGAAGCAGACUGCUGCCAUCACCAGUCAAGCAUGAGACACAUCCUAAUAAGAAGAACAAGAAUAGGAACCAUGUUAACUAUCAAACACUGUGAGAAGUACUGGAGAUGAUGCUGUUAACCUGCCUGAGGCUUGACCCUCCUGAUGCUCCCAGAGGAAGGCUGAACCCUUGCUGGCCCAUGGCUUCAGACCAGAUGCUGCAGACAGACACGGAAGCUGUGCUGGAGCAAAAUGGACAUCUUCUUACAUCUGUAUCAGGGAGGGAGCCCAAGCAAGGCUGGGUGUCCUCAGGUACCAGAGAGAUUUUCUCUGUGUGUGGGUUCUAGGAUCACCAGCACUUUUAGUUUCCUUCUAGGGACUCCACUUUCCCUACAACCAAAAUGGUGAGCAGAACCAGUCUCAUGUGCUGAGUGAGGGGAGGGUGUCUGGCACAGGGUGUGGUUUAGAACCUGCACAGUGAGACAGGGUGUUCACAGCAAGUCUCAAGAUAGUGACAUAUCUGAAGGGCAGCUGUGCAAAAAGGGAAGAGAGAAGCUCUGUGCUGCUCCAGGAGGAAGGAGAUCUGAGUGCCAAGCCAGAAAUCUGACAACCAGCAUGCAGCACGUUUAAAUGACACACCCCAGAGAGAGGGAACAAGGAAAAGUUCAUGCAGCUAAAUCAACAAAGUAGAUGUUUGUUCAAUUAAAUGAAACUUGAAUGAGCACUGUUAGUCCCUCUAUGAGGGGCCUUGUUAAGGAGUGUGAGAGCUUGUGGAGGCAUCCUGAGGUUCCCAGCAAGGCCAAGACUGAUCCCUCCACUUGGUCUGAGCCCACCAAGCUUACUUGCUCUGUGCAACCUGGCCUAUCAGCGCCCUCUAGUGGACACCCAAGCAUAAGCCACUAAAAAACCCCUCAUAAUGUUUUUUAGACCAGUCAGGGGUUGUAAAAUCAGCGCAAUAAUAAGCACUUUUAAAAUCAGAUAAAUCAGGAGUUCCCUUGGUGGCUCAGCGGAAACAAACCCGGCUAGUAUGCUUAAGGACGUGAGUUCAAUCCAUGGCCCUACUCAGUGGGUUAAAGAUCCAGUGUUGCCAUGAACUGUGGUGUAGGUUGGCAGCUGUAGCUCUGAUUUGAUCCCUA
This 5463-nucleotide long non-coding RNA is filed under the name Sus scrofa (pig). Its description in RNAcentral is "lncRNA (ENSSSCG00015016218.1)". The record is from RNAcentral. Lineage: Eukaryota; Metazoa; Chordata; Mammalia; Artiodactyla; Suidae.